UACAUUCUCUCGUGUAUGAAGGCAACUUGUUGUAUGCAGCUUCCUGCAUAGGGUCUUCAUCCCAAAAAAUAACCAUGGCGGCCACUGAAAUAGCUAGGCAAGCGGGCGAAGGUGCUCGCGCCGUCCCUCUCACCGGCCAUGUCGGCUUCGACAGCAUGCCCGACCAACUGGUCAACAAGUCUGUCAACCACGGCUUUUGCUUCAACAUCCUCUGCGUUGGUGAGACGGGCCUCGGCAAGUCCACUCUCAUGGACACCCUGUUCAACACCAAGUUCGAGGGUGAGCCCACCCAGCACAACCAGCCGGGCGUGCAGCUCAAGUCCAACACCUACGAGCUCCAGGAGAGCAACGUGCGCCUCAAGCUGACCGUGGUCAACACUGUGGGCUUCGGAGACCAGAUCAACAAAGAGAACAGCUACAAGUCUAUUGUGGAGUUUAUCGACACCCAGUUUGAGGCCUAUCUGCAGGAGGAGCUGAAAAUCAAGCGCACGUUACACAGCUACCACGACACACGCAUCCACGCCUGCCUGUACUUCAUCACGCCCACCGGACACUCCCUCAAGUCCCUGGACCUAGUCACUAUGAAGAAACUGGACAGCAAGGUCAACAUCAUCCCCAUCAUCGCCAAAUCAGACGCAAUCUCCAAGAGCGAGUUGACCAAGUUCAAGAUCAAGAUCACCAGUGAGCUGGUCAGCAACGGUGUUCUGAUCUACCAAUUCCCCACUGACGACGAGACGGUGGCAGAGAUCAACUCCACCAUGAACGCCCAUUUGCCGUUCGCCGUGGUGGGAAGCACGGAGGAAGUGAAGAUCGGCAACAAGAUGGUGAAAGCGCGGCAGUACCCCUGGGGGACGGUACAGGUGGAGAAUGAGAACCACUGUGACUUUGUGAAGCUGAGAGAGAUGCUGAUCAGGGUGAACAUGGAGGAUCUUAGAGAGCAGACUCACACCAGACACUACGAGCUCUACCGCCGCUGCAAGCUGGAGGAGAUGGGCUUCAAGGACACGGACCCUGACUGCAAACCCUUCAGUCUGCAGGAGACGUACGAGGCCAAGAGGAACGAGUUCAUGGGAGAGCUGCAGAAGAAAGAGGAAGAGAUGAGGCAGAUGUUCGUCCAGAGAGUCAAAGAAAAGGAGGCUGAGCUGAAGGAGGCCGAGAAAGAGCUGCACGAGAAGUUUGACCGGCUCAAGAAGCUGCACCAGGAUGAGAAGAAGAAGCUGGAGGACAAGAAGAAAUCCCUGGAUGACGAGCUCAACGGCUUCAAGCAGAAAAAGAUGGCCGCCGAGCUCCUGCAGUCCCAGGCCCAGCAGGCAGGUGGCUCCACCACACUCAAGAGGGACAAGGAGAGAAAAAAUUCAGGAUUCCUGUAGGAAUGAUUUUUCACCCCAUCCCUGGCAGUGCCAUGCUGUUCUCUGUGCCCUCCUGCCCUCCCCCCUCUCCCCCAUUCCAAACCCCACACAUGCCCCUGCCAAGUGGAAGAAUCCAGCCAUUACUGUGAAUGGGAAUCCUUGACUCAAAUGCAUCCUUUUUGCGCUAAAGAUGCUUGUUUUUCUUCUUUUAAUCUGUCUCGGCCACCUGUCUGAAGAGGGGAUUGCAGCUUCAACAAGAACUAAGCACCCAUUUCUUCUUCCUGUCUUUUCUCACUGCAUCAACCUUUUUUAACUUCCAUCUCAUCUGCUUUGUUGACCAUGGCCUAACGUGGGCUUCACACUGUACACUUUGGCAAGUGGGAGUCCUUCACUCUUAAUAUUUUGCAGCUCCGUCUUGGUGUGUGAAUAAACUGAGUUUUGCUCAGGUAGGAUUCUAGACGGUUGUUCAAGAGAAACACAUCAAAUCAAUAGUUUCAUCAUACCAAUUGUAAAAGAGCCAAGGCUCUGGAUUAAUUUAUAUUUUGCACAAAACUAUCAGAAUUUCAUUGACAGUUAAUUUUAAGGAGGUCUUUAUGUAAUAACAUUCAAUCAUAUAUUAAGUCAAUAUUGAGAUGGGCUUGUUCUGUUUGAAAUUACCAUUACUAUUACAAAUAGCCUAUAUUAUUCAUGUGCUCCUCAUUCACAGGGGUAGUUAGUUCUGAAUACAAAUAGCACAACCCAGAUCUCAAUAAAACACUGAUAAAACCCAAAGACAUUAAUUUGGUGAUUGAUAGAGCAAAGUGUGACAUCUUACCUUAUAUGUGUGACUAGUAUAUACUUUUGUCAUUUAAAAACCAAAAGACAAUUGCGAUCCAAAACAGUGUUCUUUAUGUUCACUGCAUAGGUUGUUUCAUUGGAACUUAGAAGAGCCAGAGCCGUAUUCAUGUCAAGCACUUAUUUAGUGAAAACACAUUUUCCGUACUGAAAUACCAUGUAGGUCACAUUUAAUGCCAUCAACCUAUUCUGUAUUUUGCAUGUCUAAUGCUCCUUUUUAUUUCAUCACCUCUGUGAUCUUGUCCUUUUGCUCCCAUAGCUGUUUUCUCCCCUAACCUUUCCGUUUUGCACUCUUUCACAUUUGGUGCUCUAUAUUGUUUGGAUCAGUUGUAUCUUGUGUAUUACUCCUUGUUAUGUGCAGUUAUACCCUCUCCACAAUUUUCAGCACCCAUAUUGCCAAAUAUUACAAUGAGAUGGAGUUGAAUCCUAGAUACAGAUUGAUACAUUUGUAUAAUUUAUAAGGAUAUAUUUUGUGUAUUGAAGUGGAGACCGGUGUAGUUACAUUUUGGUGUAAAAAAUUGCCAUACAUUUUUCUAGUAUCUGCCAUAAUCACCCCUCCUAAUCAAUUACCCGUCCACACCACAAAUGUAAUAUGAAAUAUUUUAUUGUAGUUUGAUUCCAUUUAUGUAAAUUUUCAAUAAAAUGAUUCAGAUAGUG
Coregonus clupeaformis (lake whitefish) is the source of this 2840-nucleotide RNA transcript. It is a transcript of the gene named septin-6-like, with no coding region annotated. The transcript is spliced from 11 exons. The record is from RefSeq and is a predicted model, not a curated record. NCBI's taxonomy places the organism in Eukaryota, Metazoa, Chordata, Actinopteri, Salmoniformes, Salmonidae.